CUAUACAUGACUCUGCGCAUAUCAAUAAGCGGAGGAAAAGAAACUAACAAGGAUUCCCCUAGUAACGGCGAGUGAAGCGGGAAGAGCUCAAAUUUGAAAUCUUAAAGGGUUUCCCUUUACGAAUUGUAGUUUAAAGAAGUGUUUUCUGUUGAGGUUUUGGUAAAAGUUCUUUGGAAUAGGACAUCAUAGAGGGUGAGAAUCCCGUAUUUGACCUUUACUUUCAACUUUGUGAUACACUUUCAAAGAGUCGGAUUGUUUGGGAAUGCAGUCCAAAAUGGGUGGUAAAUUUCAUCUAAAGCUAAAUAUUGGCGAGAGACCGAUAGCGAACAAGUACCGUGAGGGAAAGAUGAAAAGAACUUUGAAAAGAGAGUUAAACAGUACGUGAGAUUGUCAAAAGGGAAGCGUUUGACACCAGUGUUGUUUUUCUGAAAAUCAAUUAAAGAACUGUUUAUGCUAAGUUGUUUAGACUUUAUCAGCUAACUGUUUAGUUUUGAGCUUUUCUUUAAUGCACUUUUCAGUUAACAAGUCAACAUCAAUUUCUUUUGCUGUAAAAAAGCUUGAGGAAGGUGGCUUGAGAUUCGUCUUAAGUGUUUAUAGCCUCUUGCCUAUGCAGUCGGAGAGAUUGAGGUCUGCAGCGUAGAUCCUUCGGGGCUAAAUGCAUUUGUGCUAAGUUAUAGCAUUUUAUAGACAACUUGUUGACUAUGAUUUGUCUUGUAGCUUACUCGCUUAUGUUAUUUUACCUACGCUUAGGAUGUUGAGCGCAUGUCUCUCUCU
RNAcentral lists this ribosomal RNA (774 nucleotides) under uncultured Neocallimastigales. Its description in RNAcentral is "partial large subunit ribosomal RNA". It matches the Rfam family "Eukaryotic large subunit ribosomal RNA", at positions 22 to 616 of the family's 3401-position model. The record is from RNAcentral. Lineage: Eukaryota; Fungi; Neocallimastigomycota; Neocallimastigomycetes; Neocallimastigales.